CCUACGGGAGGCAGCAGUGAGGAAUAUUGGUCAAUGGACGAGAGUCUGAACCAGCCAAGUAGCGUGAAGGAUGACUGCCCUAUGGGUUGUAAACUUCUUUUAUAUGGGAAUAAACUGUUCCACGUGUGGGAUUUUGUAUGUACCAUAUGAAUAAGGAUCGGCUAACUCCGUGCCAGCAGCCGCGGUAAUACGGAGGAUCCGAGCGUUAUCCGGAUUUAUUUGGUUUAAAGGGGCGUAGGUGGAUUGUUAAGUCAGUUGUGAAAGUUUGCGGCUCAACCGUAAAAUUGCAGUUGAAACUGGCAGUCUUGAGUACAGUAGAGGUGGGCGGAAUUCGUGGUGUAGCGGUGAAAUGCUUAGAUAUCACGAAGAACUCCGAUUGCGAAGGCAGCUCACUGGACUGCAACUGACACUGAGGCUCGAAAGUGUGGGUAUCAAACAGGAUUAGAUACCCGGGUAGUC
RNAcentral lists this ribosomal RNA (459 nucleotides) under uncultured bacterium. RNAcentral describes it as "partial 16S ribosomal RNA". It matches the Rfam family "Bacterial small subunit ribosomal RNA", at positions 338 to 795 of the family's 1533-position model. The record is from RNAcentral.